RNAcentral lists this ribosomal RNA (520 nucleotides) under uncultured bacterium. Its description in RNAcentral is "bacterial SSU rRNA". It matches the Rfam family "Bacterial small subunit ribosomal RNA", at positions 29 to 570 of the family's 1533-position model. The record is from RNAcentral.
ACGAACGCUGGCGGCAUGCCUAACACAUGCAAGUCGUAACGAGGAUAGCAAUAUCCUAGUGGCGAACGGGUGAGUAACGCGUGAGCAACCUGCCUCAUACAACGGGAUACCCGAGGGAAACUUCGGUUAAUACGGUAUAAGACCACACUGCCGCAUGGCAGAGGGGUAAAAGGAGAAAUCCGGUAUGAGAUGGGCUCGCGUCGCAUUAGCUAGUUGGUGAGGUAACGGCCCACCAAGGCGACGAUGCGUAGCCGACCUGAGAGGGUGAUCGGCCACAUUGGGACUGAGAUACGGCCCAGACUCCUACGGGAGGCAGCAGUGGGGAAUAUUGGGCAAUGGAGGAAACUCUGACCCAGCAAUGCCGCGUGAAUGAAGAAGGUCUUCGGAUUGUAAAGUUCUUUAGUCAGGGAAGAAUAAAAUGACGGUACCUGAAGAAUAAGCUCCGGCUAACUACGUGCCAGCAGCCGCGGUAAUACGUAGGGAGCAAGCGUUGUUCGGAAUGACUGGGCGUAAAGGGUGC